CCCAACCCCCCACCCCAUAAUGGACACAGUUCAGGCCUGGAUCACAGAGGGAGACUCUAAGCAAACUACUACAGAACUAGCCACAGCAUUGUUAAUCAGGCCACAUCUUUCCACAGUGUGCUAACCACUAAGCAGAGUCCCGCUCCAACUAGCUUGAGUGGCUUUUAUUUCUGAAAAUGAACCCUCACUGGUGCAGCAAUAGAAAGAGGAGAGACUCCAAACUUGGAUGGUUUCAUUUCGACUGACCUGAUGGGAGAAAGGAAAAGAAGCAAGAAAGAGGAAUGAAGAUGGAGAGCAGAUUAUAUAACCUGGCAGAAGGCAGCAGAAAUGGCUGAGGGAUGUUUGUAAUAACAUAACCGAAUAGGCAAUAAAG
Long non-coding RNA from Talpa occidentalis (Iberian mole), 373 nucleotides. RefSeq lists it as uncharacterized. Lineage: Eukaryota; Metazoa; Chordata; Mammalia; Eulipotyphla; Talpidae. The transcript is spliced from 3 exons. The record is from RefSeq and is a predicted model, not a curated record.